GUGCUUGCUUUGGCAGCACAUAUACUAAAAUUGGAACGAUACAGAGAAGAUUAGCAUGGCCCCUGCACAAGGAUGGCACGCAAAUUAGUGAAGUGUUCCAUAUUUUA
This 107-nucleotide small nuclear RNA is filed under the name Dasypus novemcinctus (nine-banded armadillo). The record is from RNAcentral. Lineage: Eukaryota; Metazoa; Chordata; Mammalia; Cingulata; Dasypodidae.